ACCGGCGCACGGGUGAGUAACACGUAUCCAACCUGCCUCAUACUCGGGGAUAGCCUUUCGAAAGAAAGAUUAAUACCCGAUGUCAUAGUCCUACCGCAUGAUGGGAUUAUUAAAGAAUUUCGGUAUGGGAUGGGGAUGCGUUCCAUUAGUUAGUUGGCGGGGUAACGGCCCACCAAGACAACGAUGGAUAGGGGUUCUGAGAGGAAGGUCCCCCACAUUGGAACUGAGACACGGUCCAAACUCCUACGGGAGGCAGCAGUGGGGGAUAUUGCACAAUGGGGGCAACCCUGAUGGAGCAACGCCGCGUGGGUGAAGAAGGUCUUCGGAUCGUAAAACCCUGUUGUUAGAGAAGAAAGUGCGUGAGAGUAACUGUUCACGUUUCGACGGUAUCUAACCAGAAAGCCACGGCUAACUACGUGCCAGCAGCCGCGGUAAUACGUAGGUGGCAAGCGUUAUCCGGAUUUAUUGGGCGUAAAGGGAACGCAGGCGGUCUUUUAAGUCUGAUGUGAAAGCCUUCGGCUUAACCGGAGUAGUGCAUUGGAAACUGGGAGACUUGAGUGCAGAAAAGGAGAGUGGAACUCCAUGUGUAGCGGUGAAAUGCGUAGAUAUAUGGAAGAACACCAGUGGCGAAAGCGGCUCUCUGGUCUGUAACUGACGCUNAGGUUCGAAAGCGUGGUAGCAAACAGGAUUAGAUACCCUGGUA
This 703-nucleotide ribosomal RNA is filed under the name uncultured bacterium. Its description in RNAcentral is "bacterial SSU rRNA". It matches the Rfam family "Bacterial small subunit ribosomal RNA", at positions 94 to 792 of the family's 1533-position model. The record is from RNAcentral.